This is a long non-coding RNA of Mustela erminea (ermine), 2317 nucleotides long. RefSeq lists it as uncharacterized. The transcript has 4 exons. NCBI's taxonomy places the organism in Eukaryota, Metazoa, Chordata, Mammalia, Carnivora, Mustelidae. The record is from RefSeq and is a predicted model, not a curated record.
GUGUUUCAGUGGUGAAUAGGCCCAGGUAUGCUCUUGAGCUGGUUUUGAAUUUUUGUGGUGACAGCUGUGUUUGAAGUCUUGGUUCAGAAUUCCACCCUUCCACAGGAUCUUCUCUUACCCCUCUGGGCUGCCGGGACCCCUUCGCCAUCCAAGGAUUGGCUUGUGCUUGGAAGAAGAGAAGCCAUCUGCCCAUGAGAUCUUCAGAGGGUUCAUGCAGUGUCACACCUGAGUCAUAGGCUAAGCUUCCAGGGUGGGCAGAUGCUUGCCACGAACAGCAGGAUGAAUCCCUACAAUCAGUGAGGCUGGAAGUAUAGGCUCUUGAGAUCUAAUUACAAGAUAUUUGGUUGCUGGAAUGUCUCUGGAAACCUCCUCUGGACUUGCACAAGAACUUUUUCAUCCUUGGAGUGUAGAAAUACCACAAUAGACUCUGAAGUUCUGGAGGAAGGUCAAGGCUCUGGAUCUGCAUGAAUCCCAGGCAAUCUAAUUCAGCCCCUCCCCCCACAAAGGUAUGUUUCCCAUCACCAAAGCAUCUUGAGACUGGUGAUUAUUCUAGAAAGCAGACUCUUAGUGAGACUUUGACUUUUAGGAAAAGAAUAUGUAAAUGGAUAUCAUACAAUUGAGACAAGAAAAGGAGGGACUGCUUUAGCUGGAGCUAUUUGGUGAUCAGGUAUGAAAGAGAGAUAGGAUAAAGGGGAAAGAACCCAGGAGGAAAUAUUCUUGGAGACAGAAAACAGAUACUCAAAUGCUCAAACUUUGACCAGCAACAGGAGAGGAGCACACAGAUUUUUAGAGAAGCAGGCAGAACACAUCAUGAUGUAUCAGUUAUUCUUUUUCAGUAAUUCCUGAAAAAGCAAUCAUUCCAAAAUAUCUGACAAAUUUGACUCCUUUUAAGGGAGGCCUGGAGUCAGUAACAGUUACAGAAUUCUCCUCCAGAAUAUCACUGCUAAGCCUUCAUUUUAGGCAGCCUUUUGUACACUUUGAAUUACUUUUCUAGAUCCCCCCAAUGGGGGGUCAGAAUGUAUAUGGAUGUUUUAAGUACCUAUAAGUAUGCUCUUUACAGGUGAGAUUUCAGGAAACAUAUACACAUGUGCACACACAAUAACAACCUUAAGUUCUAUUUUGUAAGACCUCUUUAUAAACAGAGUCACUUGCUGGCUCUCUACUCUGUUUCUGCACCAAUUCAAAUGAGGGAGCCUAGAAAGGAGCUGGGAUGAUCUCUACGUUGGCUGUGCUUUCCAGGUUUUAUAAGCCACCCCGAGCCUUGGAAACUAUCUUCUAAAAACAAAACUCACUCGUAACUAGUAGUCAUCUUAACUUAAUCAGUUUGCACCUAGUCUUUACACCAGUAGACUAUGUCAUUAAGUAUAACUCAGUACUGAUAAAUGGUAGUGUAGCAUUAAGGCAAAUGGUCCAGAGCUCAUCAAUUAAGAAGAAAGUGUCCAAGGUCAUUCUAGAGGCCCUGGGCCAGUCAAGCAAAGUGGAUUAGCUGUUGAUUUUUUUGAAAGAACUAGAAAAGCUGAUUAGAAAUCUCUGGGGAGAGCCUUCAUGAAGCUCAGUUAUGCCAGGAAAGAAAAGGAUUAAUUUACCUCCAAAUGAUACUCUUAAGUCCAAACAGCAAACAUUUCUGUCCAUGCAUCAGAAUGUGUUGGGCCUACAUGGAACCUACCAUUUAAGCUUUUUCCUCUGAGGAAGUGGAGUUUAUUGGUGGCAUUAACUUUCCUGUCAGAGCAUCAUUCAGUAGCUCUCAAACCUGAACAUGCUCCAGAAUCAUCCCUAAAGGCUUGUCAGAGGCUACACUGCUGGACCCACUUCUAGAAUCUGAUUCACAGGUCUGGGCUGGGCUCUCUGGCAGGACCAGAGAAUUUGCAUAAAUACCAAAUGUCAGGUUAUUGCUGAUACUGUUUUCUUAGGGACCAAAUGUUAAGAAUCAUUGCAGUAGCUUUUUCUAAAACACUCUGUAUAAUCAAAUCACCUUAAUAUGCUCCCGGGACAAAGCUUUUUCCAUGUGGAAGAUGAAGGUCAGUAUUGGACUUUUUUCCCCCUCAGACACUUUGAUAAGGGAGGUGAGGGACAGACCCAACAGAUGCUAAUUUAAUAUUAGGUUCAGAAGUUUAAGUGCCACAUCUGCAUUUGCAGCAAACCGGUAAGUAAAAUGUGACUCAAACUCGUGCUCUAACCUAUGACCUGCUUCUGAAGGGAAUAUUUUUCCAUACCAUUAAAUCUGAGUCUCUCAAAGGCUUUUUGAGAGGGACCGGGGGUGGGGGUGGGUGGGGGCUGAGGGAAAAAGAGAAUCUUAAGCAGACUCCACACCUAGCAU